UUUGAAAGGAACGACUAACAACGGAGCCCUCUCGCCGGCCCUUGCCAGGAUCCACCUCGCCUCCAUGGCCAUCGGAGACGAGGCAGACCUGUGACGGAGCCGGCGAGAGGCACAAACCCUGGCUUUUUUGGUGAAGGAGGAGGAGGCGGCUGCGUUGGCCUUGUUCUAUGCUUCAAUAGCUAGCUUCUAGCUAGCCAUGUGUAUGAUAAAAUCGUGGUUUUGAUGGUAAACAUGAAUGCCUCGGCAUGUGUAGUGUAUGUCUUGAGUAUGCAAUUGCAUUUCUAGUUGGGAGUAGGCCUUUGUUUUGUAUUUCAUGUAAGAUUACAAGGACAUCCGUGUAUUCGAUAAAAUCCAUUAUCAUUGAACUUUUGUAUCGGUGUAUUCUUUGAAUGGCUCGCACUAAGGUGACGGCUCGGACAUCCACUGGAGGAAAAACCCCUCGGAAGCAACUUGCUAAAAUGAUUGUACACGUAAUGCAUUGCACAUUGUUCGUCAUUCCUUUCAAUGGCUUCCACUAGGAAGCACGGAAAUUUAGUUCCUUGUACGAAUUUUCUGAUCACAGCAGAAUUAAUUUGUUUUGACAUAAUAGGCAGCUCGGAAGACAGCUCCUUCAAUAGGACAAGUGAAGAAGCCUCGCCAGUACCGCCCUGGAACUGUUGCUCUUCGUGAAAUCCGCAAGUAUCAGAAGGGCACUGAGCUACUCAUAAGGAAGCUGCCCUUUCAAAGUCUUGUUAGGUAGACUGCCAUGGCUUCAAAGAGUGAUCUACGAUUCCAAAGCCAUGAGGUGCUCGCUAUGCAAGAGGCAGCAGAGCAUACCUAGUGGGUCUCUUUGAGGACACGAACCUAUGUGAUAUUCAUGCCAACCGUGUAACCAUCAUGUCUAAGGAUGUUCAACUUGCUAGGAGGAUCCGUGGCGAGAGGCCUUGAUUUGAUUGGAUAUGGAAUUACCUAUGGUCUUCAAUAGUUUGUGUGAAUGCUUUUAUGUUGCAAGAAAGUCAGCAUUUGAUGAUGAACGUUCAACUAUCUAUGGGAUA
Aegilops tauschii subsp. strangulata is the source of this 1034-nucleotide non-coding RNA. Lineage: Eukaryota; Viridiplantae; Streptophyta; Magnoliopsida; Poales; Poaceae. The record is from RefSeq and is a predicted model, not a curated record.